This 165-nucleotide unclassified non-coding RNA is filed under the name uncultured fungus. Its description in RNAcentral is "sequence contains ITS1". Lineage: Eukaryota; Fungi. The record is from RNAcentral.
UCGAGAGUCUCACCUCUCCACCCUGUGUUUUAUGUCCUCUGUUUCUUCGGCGGGCCAUGAAGGCCACCCGGCCGGUACCAUGUAGGCUGUGUGGGGCCAGUGGCCCGUCGGUGGCAACUCUGCGGUUGAAACGUUGUCGUCUGAGUUUGGCUUCCAGUUAGAACA